GCGCCCAUAGCUCAGCUGGAUAGAGCAGCAGUUUCCUAAACUGCGUGUCGGAUGUUCGAGUCAUCUUGGGCGCA
Megasphaera elsdenii is the source of this 74-nucleotide transfer RNA. It matches the Rfam family "tRNA". From Rfam's summary of the family: Transfer RNA (tRNA) molecules are approximately 80 nucleotides in length. NCBI's taxonomy places the organism in Bacteria, Bacillati, Bacillota, Negativicutes, Veillonellales, Veillonellaceae. The record is from Rfam.